CGGGAUGUGGCUCAGUUUGGUAGAGCGCUGCGUUCGGGACGCAGAGACCGUGGGUUCGAAUCCCGCCAUCCCGACCA
RNAcentral lists this transfer RNA (77 nucleotides) under Maridesulfovibrio ferrireducens. RNAcentral's name for it is "Desulfovibrio ferrireducens tRNA_Pro_CGG". It matches the Rfam family "tRNA". From Rfam's summary of the family: Transfer RNA (tRNA) molecules are approximately 80 nucleotides in length. Their secondary structure includes four short double-helical elements and three loops (D, anti-codon, and T loops). Lineage: Bacteria; Pseudomonadati; Thermodesulfobacteriota; Desulfovibrionia; Desulfovibrionales; Desulfovibrionaceae. The record is from RNAcentral.